Molecule: long non-coding RNA, 1131 nt
Organism: Astyanax mexicanus (Mexican tetra)
Lineage: Eukaryota; Metazoa; Chordata; Actinopteri; Characiformes; Acestrorhamphidae
Exons: 3
Source: RefSeq, a predicted model, not a curated record
GAACGUGCAGGAUAGCUGGGGUUGGUGUAGCUGUUUGAAGGCUGAUAGAGCACGGCGACCUGAUUGGCCGGGAGGCAAGACGGGAGAAGCCAGAUAAGAGCGAGACUCCCCUCUUGUCAUCAGCGUAUGCAAAUGAGCGAGGGCCAUUAAAGCGGGGAGGCCUAGGGACCUGGAGAGCCCGAGAGUUCUGGAGAAGGUCUGCAGGACCUGGAGCAGGACGGAGACGCUGAGCCUGCAGGACCAGGGCGAGGUGUUAAACUAGAGUCAUUAGAGCUGUUCCUAUUUACACCUUCAUCACCUGCACCUCAGGAGGAGACAGGAGAGGUGACCUCACACACAGAUUGUUUUAUUGUUUUUUACUGAUGACUCUGAAGAUGUUCUGGAGCUGCUGGAUCAGUAUUAUUGUGCUCUGGACAGGAUAUCAUCAUAUACUAGCUCGAUGUGCUACAGAACAGAAGGCAAGACGACGGGAGUCAGCACAAACACGGUUCCAGCAACGUGAAAUUCCAGCGCUCAGAGGGAACAAAAGCGGAGCGACGUAAAGUUUUCACCCAUUUUACUGACAUUCAAAGUUGCUCUAUCUGCAGUGAAGGUCAUCUUUAAUACAGUGUUAUACCAAGAGACUAGACAGAGAAUGUGCGGUAGAAUAAGAAUAAAAAAAUGUUGCAAACACACCUGCAACAGGCCAUAUAUCAUGGGAUAUUGAGUUAUUAUUUUAGGACAGGUUGGGAACAAAAACACCUGUGUUAGUUUAACAGGAACUAGAAUUUAAUCCAGAAUGAUUAACAAAUAUUUAGAUCAUUUUAUAACAACCAAAAAAGUAAUUUAAUUCACUGAGAAUUAAGUAUUUUUAACACAUAUUUGAAAUAAAUUAAAAUUUGAGGCAUAUUUGUAUAUGUCGUCAUAAUUAUAGACAUAUAGUACAAAUAUAAAUCACUUGGUAAUAGAUGGGGGGCUCAUUUCCAAUAACUUAAUGGGACUGAAAAAAGGGACUUUUUUAUUAAAAUUAAAAUUAAUUAUUUAAUCAGGUGAGCUAAAGUAAGGAGCAUCAUAAAAAAAAACAAUGAAAAUUAAAUGAUAAGAACAAUAGAAUAACAAACAAACAAUACAAUAUUUUAUUAAGAAGAAAUA